Acanthosepion pharaonis is the source of this 114-nucleotide non-coding RNA. The record is from the annotation of a GenBank genome assembly. Lineage: Eukaryota; Metazoa; Mollusca; Cephalopoda; Sepiida; Sepiidae.
UUACGGUCACAUCACGUUGAAACACUUGUUACCAUAUGAACACCGAAGUUAAGCAACGUCGAACCUGGUCAGUACCAAGAUGGACGACCGUUUCGGAAUACCGGAUACUGUAAG